Molecule: non-coding RNA, 1581 nt
Organism: Coffea arabica (coffee)
Lineage: Eukaryota; Viridiplantae; Streptophyta; Magnoliopsida; Gentianales; Rubiaceae
Source: RefSeq, a predicted model, not a curated record
UUCGAAAUUCAAACAAAACAAAAAGGAACCCCUCACUCUCCUUCUUCUUCAAUCUACAAGUUGAAAAGAAGAGGAAAGAAGAAGAAGAAAAAAAAAGCCCCUCUCCCUCCGUGACCGGCGAUUCAAGAUUAGCUUACAUUUGUUAUUGCUUCUUCAUUUUUUUCCAAUAAAAUUAAUUCCCAAUCCAAGUAGUACUACUGUAGUUUUUGUUUUAACAAUUGUAUGGAUACGGAGAAGAAGGCGAUGGCGUCCGAUUGCACCUUGAAUAAGCAGGAGUCAGAGUCGGAGUGGUUGUCGUUGGACCCAGAAAUGGAGUUUUUGGCAUCGAAACAAGAAACUGGGAACGAGUGGGAGCUGUUCAAGGAAAAUGUGAGGCCUUUGAAGCGGGGCCGCAACGUCGCUCUUCUCAACACUGCUCUCAAAUCCCACUCAUCCUCCUCCACCCUCAGGACUCAACUUCUUCACCAUCGCAGGAGGUUGAUUGAAGCCAUAGAUGAAUAUGAAGGUGACGAUCCUCUCCAACCUUGGCUUCGGUGCGUUAAGUGGGUUCAGGAGGCUUUUCCUGCUGGUGGAGACUCCUCCGGCUUAGUAGUCAUCUAUGAGCAGUGUGUCCGCUCUUUUUGGCACCAGGACCGCUACAAGGAUGAUCUUCGCUAUCUCAAUGUUUGGUUGGAAUAUGCGGCAAAUUGUAUUGAUGCUCAAGUCAUCUAUAGUUUUCUCGAGGCAAACAAAAUUGGCCUCACACAUGCUUCCUUCUAUAUAUCCUUUGCUCUUCACAUGGAAUCCAAGAACAAAACUAGAACUGCUAAUGAAAUCUUCAAUCGAGGCAUAUCUAUGAAUGCACGACCAAUUGAAAAAUUGAAGGCAGCCUAUAAAAAGUUUCUGAAUCGGUCAAUGAGAAGGUCAAUAGCUGUAGAGGAGGACAGAACAGAGAAUCAGUUCCCACUUAGAAGUUUUGGGACUGUACUGGCUACGGGAGAACGCCGAAACCAGGCAGAUGAUUCUGAUUUUGCUAUGAAAAAGUUGAAAACAGAUAGGAUUCAAGGGACUGCAAUACCUAUCUAUGAAGAUUCUGGUAGGAAUAUGAUAUCGGACCUACAAUCACAAACUUCAAAGUUGGAGUCAAAACCAUGGCAGAGUCUCGGUGUUCGCGCAGAGAGAAAUAAGGAGAACAACUCAGUUCCUUCUAAAUGGGCCUCAAAUAAGAUUCCCCAGAGAUUUGGGCAUAGAUUUGGAGGAACAAUUACAACUCCGUCUAUUGAGAUCUUUGUGGAUGACGAUUGUGCCGAAGCACAGAAGAUGGAUAAGGAGACUGGAAAAUCAUCAACUCUACAACUCAGACACGGGGAUGGUAGAGACCUUAAGAAGGAAACGGAGCUAUUGAGAGAGAAUCCCUUGCGCAAUUUUCCCCCAAGUUCUUUGCCUAGAUAAUCCGAGGAAGGACAUUAUUUCAUCUCUGUUGUUGUAUCCGAGUAAAGCAGACUUGAUCCAGUCUGCCAUUUCUCUUUUUGAUGAACGAAAUUGCAAAUUUAUUAACAUCCAGAAAAUCAAUUGAGAAGAGAUCUAUAUCACUUUCUUGCA